CGUGUAGGCGGUCAGGUAAGUUGGACGUGAAAGCUCCUGGCUCAACUGGGAGAGGUCGUUCAAAACUGCCGGACUAGUGGGCGACAGAGGGAGGUGGAAUUCCCGGUGUAGUGGUGAAAUGCGUAGAUAUCGGGAAGAACACCAGUGGCGAAGGCGGCCUCCUGGGUCGCACCUGACGCUCAGACGCGAAAGCUAGGGGAGCGAACG
This 207-nucleotide ribosomal RNA is filed under the name uncultured bacterium. RNAcentral describes it as "partial 16S ribosomal RNA". It matches the Rfam family "Bacterial small subunit ribosomal RNA", at positions 568 to 774 of the family's 1533-position model. The record is from RNAcentral.